CUACGGGAGGCUGCAGUGGGGAAUAUUGGACAAUGGGGGAAACCCUGAUCCAGCAAUGCCGCGUGUGUGAAGAAGGCCUGCGGGUUGUAAAGCACUUUCGGUUGGGAGGACUGCUUCUAGCACUAAUAUUGUUGGAAGUUGACGUUACCUUCAGAAGAAGCACCGGCUAACUCCGUGCCAGCAGCCGCGGUAAUACGGAGGGGUGCAAGCGCUAAUCGGAAUUACUGGGCGUAAAGCGCGCGUAGGCGGCUAGAUCAGUCGGGUGUGAAAGCCCCGGGCUUAACCGGGGAACUGCAUCCGAUACUGUCUAGCUUGAGUACAGGAGAGGAGAGUGGAAUUCCACAUGUAGCGGUGAAAUGCGUAGAUAUGUGGAGGAACACCAAUGGCGAAGGCAGCUCUCUGGCCUGAUACUGACGCUGAGGUGCGAAAGCGUGGGGAGCAAACAGGAUUAGAUACCCCUGUAGUC
Molecule: ribosomal RNA, 466 nt
Filed under: uncultured bacterium
Lineage: Bacteria
Description: partial 16S ribosomal RNA
Rfam family: Bacterial small subunit ribosomal RNA
Source: RNAcentral